This 2468-nucleotide long non-coding RNA is filed under the name Podarcis lilfordi (Lilford's wall lizard). Lineage: Eukaryota; Metazoa; Chordata; Lepidosauria; Squamata; Lacertidae. The record is from RNAcentral.
AGAUGACACAUGGUAAAACUGUGAGGUUUCCAUCAGCCCACCCUGGGCAUCAGAGGAAGCAUCCACGCAGGAUGUUUACAAGGUGGCACUUCCUUGUCUCCACCAACCUAGUCUCUGUGGUCAGAGCUAUGGCCGCCAAAGGGCCCCUAUGCACUUGCGCGAGCCGGGCCCUCUUAGGUCGCUCAUGUCGCCACCAUUGCCAUAGUUGGAUGUGUUAAGUGGUACUGGCCAGUGGAGCUGAAGAGCACAGCUCCAUCAGCUGGCACCCCUCCCCACAGGUCCCGCUGCACCACUGUGAGAGGCUGGGCUUCCUUCUUCUGCUCCCACCCUUCCCCGCUUACAGAAUUCGGGACUCUGCAUGACAUAGUGAGAAGCUGCGGUGGCUUAAGGGUUUUUGUGACGGCCCCAGCAUUUCCCUGGCAAUUGGCGACUAUGACACGCCCAUGUCUCAGUGCUAUGGUACAAAGGCUGCAAUACGAUGUGCGCAUAGAAAUGUUGCGAACUUGUAGGUCUUCUCUUUGCUCUCCUACAAGGAGUGGGACGCUGCACAGGCAGGAUGUGUUGGCCUUCGGAGAAGGGACCGUCUUGACUGUGAGUCCCAGCCUUGCAGGCCUUUUUCCACCCGGAAGAACAGGGCCCUGACUGACUCCAGCUAUAAAAGCUGGGAGGGGGUGUUUUUGGGGGGGUUGCUGUUUCUGUUCGUUUUUGCUGUUAUUGAUAGCAACUUUUUGUAUCUUUACUUUUAGAUAUUAUUAUGAUGUAUGCAGAGAUUGUUCAAUCUGGUUAUGUACUGUUUGUUGUGUUUUGUUUAUUACUACUUAUGUUACGUUUGUAAUUUUGUAAGUAUUUUCAUGUUGUAAGCUGCCUUGAGCAUGGUUUUGACUAUGGAAACGUAGCCUACAAAUAAAAAGAAUGAACAAACAGUGUGUCUCUCAGUGUGUGGAGCCCUGUUGUGCCCAGUGAACAUAGGCUCAGUGCUUUUUUCUGGGGGUACACAGGGGUACACAUGCGCCUAAACAUGUUGUGAAUCUUUGUAUUUUCGUCUAUUUACUGUAUUUAUUUUUCCCAAUUUGAACUAUAAAAUGGUGAUUUUCUUGAGUCAAAAUGAGAGUACCCCUAAACAUUUUCUUAGGAAAAAAAAGCACUGCAUAGGGUUAUACCAGACCGGCAGCCAUUCCAGUCCUAUAUUAGGAUGAGUUAACACCAGUACCCCUACUGAAAUCCUCCACGUUUUGUUGAUACCUCCCCCCCCCCCCCAAAAAAAGCAUUCCUUCUUUGACAUUGCUUUGAAAAAGUACAGGAACCCUGUGCUUCCUUGCAUCUGGCUACUUUAAGCAAAACACCAACGAAAAAGAGCAAAGAGCUCUCUGUAAACCUACUGCCAGGAGCCACACGCCUUCUCAGUUGCUAUAGCAACCUGACUGACUGGCCAGAUCCCAGAAAUAGGGCAGCUAUGAAAGACAGAAGUAACAGCUCUGGGUUCUUACCACCCUGAUGGGCACGUGCUCUUUUGGCACUUGAUAACUUUGUUCUUUGCACUAUCCGUUAAUUGUGCAAUAACUAGGCAUUUCUUUAUUGUGUACCUGUCCUCUCUCCCCCCGCUUCCUAUGUUCCUUUGGUGUGGAUACCACAUGUUCUGUGUGCUCAGGGCACAAUAUUUGGAUGGGGCCAAGCUGCUGCUUGACACCUGAUGAUGGAAAGUCAUAUCUGUGAUUUUAUUUAUUUACUAAAUUAUUUACUAAAUUAUUUUAGACCACUUUUCAGGGUAAAGUACCUUCACAGGUAUAUACUGGCCUUAAGUCAUUAUUUCUAAAUGCCCUUUUCAAUUCCAGGUCAGCACAAUGCCCCAAAUGAUCCAGAACAGUGAGAAUCCUGCAAAGAAGAAUUACAUGAACAAUGCAGACAAAUUUGAAGUCCCAUCAAUGAAGCACGGUCAUAGCUGUGUACAAUUGAGGGCAAACAGAUAGUCCUUUGGCUUCCUUAGGGUUUCAUGGAGUAUAAAAUUGCCUGGGACUAUAGGGAAUGAAAGCUCUUGAUUGCACCAUAUGGCCUCUUGCUGGCCCCUGCAAUAUUCCUAUUCUCUUUGUUCAUCUGCAAGAUAUUAACAUUACAUCCCUUCGACACACCAUUAAAUGGAGUCACACACACAGCAGAAUGUAAUUUUAUGGCCAGAUCCUGCUCUUAGGAGCGAUGACGACCAAACUAGCUAAUCAAAUCAGCGCAAAUUUGCAAACACCAUCUCAGCAGCUGUGACUGUAAAUAUCAGCGGCAGAAUGUGAAUAAUCCUGUCCGCAGGAUGACUUGAGUAAUGGGUUCCCAAUGGGCGUUCCAGCCAUCAGUUUGCUGCCUGGCAACCCAAGGGGGACUCUGAUUUUGAUGAGCCUGAAACAGCAGAUGCCGUUAUCAUGAUGUAGCAGCUAUAGCUGGCUUCCCAGAAAAAAUAAACUUAUUUAGACAAAUGGAAGGGG